UCACCCGGCCUGGCCGAUGCCUCCCUUUGCUUUGCUGGGAAGUCGUUUCCUUCUCCUUCCUGCUCAGGCUGGGUCAGGUGGCCUCUGUGACUCCUCAGGUCCCUCCCAGGUACCCCCAUUGGGGCUGGGCUCGUGUCUGUGGCAUUGCUGCGCUGGCCCUGGGCCGCAGGGAUCCUUGGUGAGUGAACCGUAAAUGUGCCAGGCUUCCUCAGCACCAGGGUGGCUCUGAGACUGGAAACACCCCCUUUUGGCUGCAUGGGAAGGAGAUCUCCCACAGAAGUAUAACCGAGGAUGUCGGGGCUCGUGUGAGCGGUUCAGAAGACAUGACGGUGCUCCCCAGGUGGUGCCGAAUGAUUAUUGCUGGCCCAACAGCUGCAGGUAGAAGCAUCAGAUGAAACGGAAUUGGCGAAACAGGGUCCCAGCAGAUCUGUCUAUCAGAGGUGUGGCUUCAGAAAAAUGGUGCAUAUUUUGAUUUAAAGCCUUGAAAAAAAAGCAAAAAUGAAAUUCAGCAGACUUGGGACAAACAAUUUGGAAAGAGUUCCUUGGAAGACCAUCGCUGACAGCCACCUCCAAAUGGCCAGCAGGUGUCAGUGUCAUGUCCUGGAGCAGGACCCUCUGUCCAACAGUGAGUCAGCACUAGCCGAACUUGUCCUCAGACACACAAGGCUUCAAGGACAAGGGACCAACCCAGCCCUGCAAACCCUGAGGUCUUGUGUUUCUGCCUGGGUUAUCAUAAGAGCAAGGAUGGGAGAAGAAUAGCAUCGUACUUCAAAGAAAAUGUAGGAAGUGUUGAAGAGUGUGAAGAAAACAGAAAGCAUUAAUUUUAUUUAAAGGUCAUCAGUUUACUGAGCUAAGGAAGUCAAAGCAUUUGUCCAGCCCUAAUGGAGCAACGUUUGAGUUGAAUCUGAAGAUGAACAAGACAAUCAUUGCCUAUAGAAUUUCCUCCAAAUGGGGAACAAAAUACACAUGUAUGUAAUUCUAGGAAA
Cavia porcellus (domestic guinea pig) is the source of this 986-nucleotide long non-coding RNA. RefSeq lists it as uncharacterized. The transcript is spliced from 3 exons. The record is from RefSeq and is a predicted model, not a curated record. Lineage: Eukaryota; Metazoa; Chordata; Mammalia; Rodentia; Caviidae.